GACGAACGCUGGCGGCGUGCUUAAUACAUGCAAGUCAACUUGACUUUAGAUAGCAAUAUCGAAAAGUAGGGUGGCGCACGGGUGCGUAACGCGUAGGUAAUCUGCCCUGAGGUCUGACAUAACCCGUCGAAAGGCGGGCUAACAUCAGAUGAUAUAUAAUCACGACAUCGUGGAAAUAUCAAAUCUUCGGAGCCUUGGGAUGAGCCUGCGUCUGAUUAGGUAGUUGGCGGAGUAAUAGCCCACCAAGCCUACGAUCAGUAGCUGGUCUGAGAGGAUGAUCAGCCACACUGGAACUGAGACACGGUCCAGACUCCUACGGGAGGCAGCAGUAAGGAAUAUUGCUCAAUGGGGGAAACCCUGAAGCAGCAACGCCGCGUGAAGGAUGAAAUACUUUUGUAUGUAAACUUCUGUAAGAUGGGAAAAAUAUUCUCCUCGGGAGAAUUGAUUGUACCAUCAGAGUAAGCCCCGGCUAACUACGUGCCAGCAGCC
This 489-nucleotide ribosomal RNA is filed under the name uncultured bacterium. Its description in RNAcentral is "bacterial SSU rRNA". It matches the Rfam family "Bacterial small subunit ribosomal RNA", at positions 28 to 516 of the family's 1533-position model. The record is from RNAcentral.